Molecule: long non-coding RNA, 283 nt
Filed under: Elaeis guineensis (African oil palm)
Lineage: Eukaryota; Viridiplantae; Streptophyta; Magnoliopsida; Arecales; Arecaceae
Description: long non-coding RNA (EGUI_LNC018162)
Source: RNAcentral
AUAAUGUGAUAUUUUUCUUAAUGUGAUAUUAAUUUGAAUAUGAGAUACAAAAUCUAAUAAGGAUAAGGAUUAAUUUAAUUGUAUCAAGAGCAAGUAAGGAAUAAAACUAAAAAAAUUGGCAUAUAGUAAGGGAGAGUAGAUUUUGUAUAAAAAUUGAACUCAAUUGAUUAUGAUAUUAAGAGAGACUUUAAUAUUUUUAGAUUAUUAAAGAAAAUUUUUUUCCUAUUGAUCUUAUUAAUUAUUUCAUUUAAGUUAUUUUUUUGAUGAUGUUAAAAAGGGGGAG